Seriola aureovittata is the source of this 232-nucleotide long non-coding RNA. RefSeq lists it as uncharacterized. The transcript has 3 exons. The record is from RefSeq and is a predicted model, not a curated record. NCBI's taxonomy places the organism in Eukaryota, Metazoa, Chordata, Actinopteri, Carangiformes, Carangidae.
UGCACCUUCCCAUCUAGAGAUGUGCCAGAGGCUCUACAUCGUUGGAGUGUUUUCACCUCCACUUAAACCGCUUCAUACCAGACCCAAGUCACCGAUCCCACCGAGCCAACCACCAGUUCUCCAGCCAGCAUUGCUGUCCCAGCUCCAGCCCCUGAGACAGUUCAAGCUUCAGUCCCUGUCCAGAAUCCCACUGCAGUGUGUGCCUCUGUGCCUGUAAGUAAUAUAUCAUUUC